AACUUUUUUUACCAAACAAUUAUAAGUAACAAAUGUAAUAUUAUCAUAACAAAUAAUAAAACUUUCAACAACGGAUCUCUUGGCUCUUGCAUCGAUGAAGAACGCAGCGAAAUGCGAUAAGUAAUGUGAAUUGCAGAAUUCAGUGAAUCAUCGAAUCUUUGAACGCACCUUGCGCUCCUUGGUAUUCCGAGGAGCAUGCCUGUUUGAGUGUCAU
RNAcentral lists this ribosomal RNA (214 nucleotides) under Syzygospora alba. RNAcentral describes it as "5.8S ribosomal RNA". The stretch from base 60 to 213 matches the Rfam family "5.8S ribosomal RNA". From Rfam's summary of the family: 5.8S ribosomal RNA (5.8S rRNA) is a component of the large subunit of the eukaryotic ribosome. The record is from RNAcentral. Lineage: Eukaryota; Fungi; Basidiomycota; Tremellomycetes; Tremellales; Syzygosporaceae.